This is a long non-coding RNA of Perca flavescens (yellow perch), 3148 nucleotides long. RefSeq lists it as uncharacterized. Lineage: Eukaryota; Metazoa; Chordata; Actinopteri; Perciformes; Percidae. The transcript has 3 exons. The record is from RefSeq and is a predicted model, not a curated record.
ACUGCCUCAGCAGCUGCGGAGAGAGGAUGCUGCGAAUAUAGAAAGCUGUCGCUGAGACGGGGGAGAAACCAAGCGCUCAAAAUUAAACUGCGCCUUUAGAGAGGGGAAUCGCAAGAAUCAAUGGAAACACAGGUGGUGAACCUCGUCGCCUGCUUUAGUAGUGGACAGAAGAAAAACAAUUCUGAUCAUCUGAACUUUGUGUGGUAGAUGAUAGUCUGUAGCCAUCUGUGAACAUGUGGUUUGGACUAGAAGCCUGGAGGAUGAAGACUGCAAAUAACACAGAAGAUGAAAAGAGCUGGAAGUGGAGGGACUUGGCUGCAGUUCUGGUGAUGCUGUAGCAGCACGGAAUGGUUUGUGGGUUACACUGAGAUGCAGGCCAUACUGUGCUGCCGCAGUAAUGCCUGAAUAUACAACCUGGCUGUCACUUUGCGCUUCUUCAACAUGUUGAAGCUGACUUGUUGGCUAUCACUCUUGGAUGUAGCCUAGACCUUCUAAAGUAAUGCCACGUAGACAAUUGUUGGGCUGAUUUUGCCUUUCUCCUUUGCUGGUCGCCUUACUGUAGCAGCACGUAAAUAUUGGAGUUAAGACUAGCUGAAGCCUCCAGUAUUGAUCGUGCUGCUGAAGCAAAGCUGACCACUCACAAUCAGCGCAACCAACCACUACUCAGACCACCCGGUCGUGCCAAACUGACUGACAGCGAGUGAGUUCUUGAGAGACACAGAAUUUAUCCACAAAGAAGAAAUCAUGCACAAGAUGGCCUGCGUGACCUCGCUGCAGCUCCUGGGGUGUUAGCCUGUUCACGAGCCGAAAGACUGGCUGCGGAUUACAAAUAUUGGACUGUAGUGUACACACCAUUUAAAUAUAUAACAAGUCAUUCAGUUUAUAAAGUCGAGAUAAAAUGAUAUAUUCUGAUGUUCGCAACAAUGCUGUAACAAAUGAAAUGGUGUCCUGUAACGUGGCUAAAAACCUCCAUUUUAAGACGUGUCGGAUGCGCACGUAACCGCCUUAUUACGUGCAUCUCUGUACCAGGACGUCCGAUGACCAAAAGCUCUAAUCCGAUUUACCUAAUAAUAAAAAUGACUAAAUUCAUAAUGUUUUACAGGCCUUUGAUAUAAUGUGGCAUUCGUUGGUAAAUCUGGCUUUUGUAAAAUUUUAGAUCACGGGCUUUAUGUGAACGUGUGCGGUACAAUAGAAAUGCUCCAAAUCGGAUCACAAACUAAUUACACUUCUCCACAAAAAAAGAAGUCGCACGAAUCAGACGUUGGUUUUAAUAAAAACGCAUGAAAUAAAUAAACCUGUGACCUAAUUAUAACGUUUUUCAUGGUGACCGUGGAUCUUUUUUAUUUUUUUGAUAACGUGUUAUAGGAUUUUUCUGCCCACUGAACAAACUCAUAUGUUGCAGCAGUUUUCUUCCAUUUGGCCUUGUAGGCCUUUUUGAUGAUAAUUCUGAAUACUCAUAUUUGUUUUCCAACUGCAAUAAAUAAAUCGGAAUUAGGGUAUUUGGCAAAAGUGAAAUUUAUGCAAAAUUAUAUUGGAGAAAAAAUAGAUAUGUGCGCAUUUUAGGAGUAGCCUACUACUGCAUUUAUUUAAUUUUUUUUUUUUAAUGGAGAAACAUUCAAAUCUAUUAGCCUAUAGCCUGUAUUUAAAAGAUUACAGGCGUUUAUAUGAUACUUCUGUUUUUAUAUAUGCCUAUAUAAUGUCAGUGCUUCAAGAUGGAACUUUGUGUGUGUGUGUGUGUGUGAGUGUGAGAGAAUGUGAAUUUUAACCACGUCAACGUAAUUCAAAAGCAUUUAUUUUGUAAAUGAUGUUACCCUUUAUUAAGGGCAGUUAACCGAUUUAAAAUGUAAUGUCUUAUGUCUGACUAUUUUGCGUCUUUAGAACAGCGCAUCAAAAUGUGGAAGCCGCCUUGAUGAUGUACGGCGUGAAAUUCCACAUUUUGUCUUACACCUGUUACUGCUGUUGUGACUUUUUAAACCUUUACCUGCUUUCAUAUCGGCCGUCCAUAUUUUAACUAGCCUACUUGUAUUAUUGUAGAAUAACACGUCUGUUUUGUUUUCGCUUGUACUUAAUUUGCAACCACCUUUUCCAGAAAAAGUGAAAAAUUAACUUCGGUGUAAAAUUAAUAUUCUAACAUUAGGAAAUAACCGCUAAAGAUGAUUUAAUCACCGGAGCAAUUAAAUAGGGGUUCACAUUAAUAGCCAUUAGACCCUCGGUGUAAAAGUGUGCGGGACCUUCUCCAGUGUGUAGCCUAUUUUGUGUAUCCAGAUACAUUAAAAGGCUAUUCACUUAUCAUCUGGGUAUUAAGUCCUGUUGAUUGAUCGAAUAGAUGAUGACUUGAAGUUUAUUUGUAUUAACCCUCACCGCAGGCCGAACUUUGAUGUAAAUGGCUGACCGUACGACCUUUUCAGAAGCCUUAGUGAUUCACAACAUUUUUUUUCUUAAUUUUAUUGGAGUUAACGUUUUUCAGGCUAUAUUUAAAUUUGCGUGCCGUGCAAUUCAAAUAUUAAUGUAGAGUGGUAGGCUACAUUUAUUUGGAUCCUAUCUUUGCCUGGCAACAGAAGGCUAUAUAUGUAUAUGCGUGACAUGACGUACAUCCUGAAUUAUGGUCAGUGCUGACAUCACGGAUUCACUUUGUGGUCUGACUUUAGGAUUAUUAUUUUAAUUUUCUUUUCAAAAUGCAGCUCUACUCCGAAAAUAAACAAAUAGGCUAAAUGAUCAAUGCACAAUUCACUGCUUGUCUUUUUGCUCUGACCUAUUUUAAUAAAGACCUUUUUUGUGAGAAGACAAAAAUCUCACUGAGCUGCGCUGAUUUUAAAAUUAUUUGAAUAACAUCCAAUUGCCCACAUAAUUGCAUUUUUGAAUUCAGAUGUAUAUCAGAACAUAGACUGUAACUUAGCAGGCUUCAGAUGUUUGACUUUAUAGGCCGGACAAGUCAUGCAACGAAUGAGUCACAUGAACCUCCGCAAAUAGCCUAGAUCUUGUGUAGAAAUAAAAUGACUGCCCAGCACGCUUGACAAUCAUGUACCCUUACCUACGUUUUGUUAUCAGUAAUAGGGGAAAUACAGCUGUCAGUUUUAGGGUUUCGUGAAAACAUUCUAAUCAUGGACAGUGAGUUUUUUUUUAUUAUUUUCUUUUCCUCCUCCACCGU